Molecule: long non-coding RNA, 2052 nt
Filed under: Homo sapiens (human)
Lineage: Eukaryota; Metazoa; Chordata; Mammalia; Primates; Hominidae
Description: HSALNT0163515
Source: RNAcentral
CUGCGGCUCCUCCCUCGGGCAGAGGGAGUCCAGAUGCGAGGGACGCCCUCCAGAGCCGAGCUGGGCCGGCCGGGCAGCUAGGGUGCUGGGAGGUUGCGGUGCAGGGUGGGUGGGUGCAGUGAGGCUGGAGCCACGCUGGGGGGGCUGGGCUGGCGGGGGGAGGCUGGAGCCGCGCCGGGGAGAGGGAGGCGGCGGUUGGGUGCUGGAGGGCGCUGGUGCCGUGCCAGUGGGCGGUGGCGCCUUACGCCACCCGCCCCACCCCCGUCACCGUGCCCGCCCCACUGCGUGGGAUUUUACAACCUAGGUCCCCGGGAGGUGGUGGUGGAGGGAGGGGCGGCGGGGACGUUUCCGGGGCGGGGGAGGGGCGCACUGCUCCAGAACUGGACCGAGGGCGGGGCUCCCCUCUGCUUCUCCCCUCUGUUCCAGCGCUGAGACGCAGGCCUUUCCUGGCGCGAAGCGACUCGCCCCGGAGCUCCCCUGCACCGUCCUGGGUGUCAGGACGCGUCAACCCAGAUGACCCGACCCGGAGAUCCUGGAUCCUCUGCCCUCUUCCCCCUACCAAGUCCUUAACCGGAGAGGGAGGAGCUACCAAUGUCCUCCAGACGUUCUCCAAAGCCCGAGCUGCCGGGAGAAGCUUGCUCAAGGCGGGUGCGCCCCUCAGACGUUUGUUUGCACGCAGGGGUUUUGACGUUUCGCUAAGCAACAGCGUUUGCCAGGGAAUCAGGGCUGUUUCGAAGAGCUUGCGUCUAUUUGAUGCUCCCAUCUUGAACAAAUCGUUUCCAUUCGAUUUGUUUAACCAAGGCGAGGGCGGACUAUGUUGUUACUUAAAAGUUAUUCUUCAUCCAAGCUGUCCUCAGAUUUUCAUCUAAGGGUGUCAUAACACCCCAGGUCGUUGCGCAAAUGUUUUGUGACAAUUUAGAAAACCAGAGGGGGGAAAUAUCCUUAGAGAAAAAAUCAUAACCAACAAGAAAAUUAUGUUAAAUGAUGUUGGUCCUUUUUCAUCGGAUGGUCCCAGUUGACACAUAGUCUUUUACAAAACCAGUGACUAUUCACAGUCUUCAAUUUAUGGCACAUCUCCCGGUGGGGGCGAAGUGCAUGAAUGGGUCCCACCUUAUUCACCAGCUGAAACUCUGAACAAGCCUUGGGGUUUCCUCUCCCAAAGACUGCCAGGCUUCACUAAGAAUCAAAACAAAACAGGAUACUAAAUGCCUGCGUGUUGUUAAUCAAACACAAGACCCAUAAAGUGAAUUUGGGGUCAUCUUGUCCUUUACUGGUUUCCUGAUUGGGAGGCUCACCCUUGGCUUAUGAUCACAUCCAUUUGGCAGAAAGUCAGCUUAUUUGACAGGGUUGGAAACAAUGCCAUGUGAGCAGAAGAGAAAUUGCUUUCAUCCCUUUUUCUACCUGAUGGUCUUAUAUUAUGAUAUGGUUUGGCUGUGCGCCCACCCAAAUCUCAUCUUGAAUUGUAGUUCCCAUAAUCCCCGUAUGUCAUGGGUGAGACCUCAUGGGAGGUAAAUAAAUUAUGGAAGUGGUUCCCCCAUGCUGUUCUCAUGAUAGUGAGUGAGUUCUCAUGAGAUCUGAAUGGUUUUAUAAGUGGUUUUUCCCCGCUUUGCUCUGCACUUCUCUCUCCUGCCACCAUGUGAAGAAGGAUGUGUUUGCUUCCCCUUCUGCCCUGAUUGUAAGUUUCUGGAGGCCUCCCAAGCCAUGCGGAACUGUGAGUCAAUGAAACCUCUUUCCUUUAUAAAUUACCCAGUCUCAGGCCAGGCACAGUGGCUCACGCCUGUAAUCCCAGCACUUGGGGAGGCUGAGGUGGGCGGAUUGCCUGAGGUCAGGAGUUCGAGACCAGUCUGGCUAACAUGGUGAAAUCCCGUCUCUACUAAAAAUACAGAAUUAGCCAGGCAUGAUGGCGUGUGCCUGUAAUGCCAGAUACUUGGGAGGCUGAGGCAGGGGAAUUGCUUGAACCAGGGAGGUGGAGGUUGCAGUGGGCCAAGGUCACGCCACUGUACUCCAGUCUGGGCGACAGAGCAAGACUCCAUCUCAAAAAUAAAUAAAUAA